UAGGGAAUCUUCGGCAAUGGACGAAAGUCUGACCGAGCAACGCCGCGUGAGUGAAGAAGGUUUUCGGAUCGUAAAACUCUGUUGUUAGAGAAGAACAAGGACGUUAGUAACUGAACGUCCCCUGACGGUAUCUAACCAGAAAGCCACGGCUAACUACGUGCCAGCAGCCGCGGUAAUACGUAGGUGGCAAGCGUUGUCCGGAUUUAUUGGGCGUAAAGCGAGCGCAGGCGGUUUCUUAAGUCUGAUGUGAAAGCCCCCGGCUCAACCGGGGAGGGUCAUUGGAAACUGGGAGACUUGAGUGCAGAAGAGGAGAGUGGAAUUCCAUGUGUAGCGGUGAAAUGCGUAGAUAUAUGGAGGAGCACCAGUGGCGAAGGCGGCUCUCUGGUCUGUAACUGACGCUGAGGCUCGAAAGCGUGGGGAGCAAACAGG
RNAcentral lists this ribosomal RNA (429 nucleotides) under Gemmatimonadota bacterium. RNAcentral describes it as "Gemmatimonadetes bacterium partial 16S ribosomal RNA". It matches the Rfam family "Bacterial small subunit ribosomal RNA", at positions 355 to 776 of the family's 1533-position model. The record is from RNAcentral. Lineage: Bacteria; Pseudomonadati; Gemmatimonadota.